UGUAAUUUGAGUUGGGAUGGGUUUGGAGUUCGUGUUCAAUUGUCGUUGCUGUAGCAUACUUGAUUAGAGUUACCACCACCAACUUCAUCUCCCAAGAUAAUUGUUUUUCCAAAGAAGCCAAAGAAGCUAAUGCUUGAAUGAUAGAUAAUAGUUCAUUUGGUGUCCUGUUUUAUACAUACACAAAAUGAAGAGGGAGGAGGAAGUUAUUU
RNAcentral lists this unclassified non-coding RNA (209 nucleotides) under Hevea brasiliensis (rubber tree). The record is from RNAcentral. Lineage: Eukaryota; Viridiplantae; Streptophyta; Magnoliopsida; Malpighiales; Euphorbiaceae.